ACAGACAACUACUGAGGACCUGCAAAGUAAGGAGACUGCAGGGCGGAGGCGGAACUUGGAGGAGUGACCUGCCGUGGAGUUUCUGGUUUCCUCCUUGUGGCUUUGUCUGGAGGGCAAGCCCCACUCUCAGAUCCACAUGGCAACACAAGCAGCUAAAACGCAGAUAGAAACCCCAACCUGGGAAAAGGAGUCCUACAGUCUCACAGUGCCACCCAGCAGUGCCAACCCAGCAAAGGUCUUGAGAACCACACUGAGAGAGGUGGGGUUUGGGAUGAACCUGGCUGCUAAAGUGGAAACAGCAACGUUCCCCGAGGGCUAGGACAGCACCCAGAGUCCACACGGUGUGCUCAGACGUAAAACAAAAUUACUCAAUAGACACAAAACUAGGAAGGUGUGAUCAUCCUCAAGAGAACAGACAAUGCUCAGAUGCCAGCCCCAACUGACACAGAUGCCUACAGCAGCCGCGGUAACUGCUUUGCGAGUUGCACGCAUACACAGCACACGCACACACACCUCAGAAAGGAGCAUUAGAUGAAAUGAAUAAUAAACCUCACAGAGAGGUAGGAAAAAAAAUAAACAAAUGAGUAUUUUUGAACUAAAAGAAUAGAGUAUCUGCAAUUAAAAUUGUACUGAUGGACUCAAUAGCAGAAUGGAGACAAAGGAAAGCCAGCGAACGUGAAGACAGAUAAAUAGAAAAUAUCCACUCCGAAGAACGAAGAUAAAGAGGAAAAACAAGAACAAGCAUCACGGGCCAGCUGGGGUCGUAUCGAAAGGCCCAGCACAUACCUGGUUCCAGAAAGCAAGGAGGAGGUUGGGGCAGAAAGUUAUUUGAAGGAAUAUUGGCUGAAACAUCCCAAGUCUGGUGAAAUACAUAAAUGUAAGCAUUCAAGAAGCUCAGUGAACCCCAAAGAAGAUAAACAGAAAGGAAAAUAGACCCAGACAUAGCAUCAUCAAAUUGCUGAAAACUGAAGAAAACAUCUGGAAAGCAGCUAGAGAAAAACAACACAUUUCGUACACAAAAGCAGUGACUCCAGUGACUACAGAAUUCUUGCCAGAAACCACGGCAGCCAGGAGACAGCAGAACGAUGUCUUUAAUGCAUGAAAGGAAAGGUUUCUCCUUGCAAGGUGUUUGUUCAUUUCUUCCAAGUUGUGGAAUAUAUGGGCAGAAGAUUGGACACCAUCCCCCUCGACUCUUUUUUCCCAUCUGUAGGGUCUGCGGUGAUGUCCUUUUUAGCCUCCAUGUUUGUAAUGAGGGUCUCUUUGUUUUGGGGUCAGUCUGGCCAGCAGCUUAUCAAUUGUAUUGAUCUUUUCAAAGAAUCAGCUUGGGUUUCAUUUAUUUUCUCUAUUUUCUGUUUUUGUUUUUUGUUCAGCUGAUUUCCACCCUGAUCUUUAUUACCUUCUACUUUCCGCAUGCGUUUUGUAAUUUAUUUUUCCCUUACUAGUUUCUCCAGGUGAAAGCUCCUAUCAUAGUUGGCAAGGGUUUUCUGUAAAGGGCUAGAGAGUAAAUAUGUUUGGUUUUGUGAGCCACGUGGUGUCUGUUGCAACCACUCAACUGCUGUUGUAGCGUGAAAGCAGCAACAGAAAACACAUAAAAUACCAAGUUGUUCUC
Homo sapiens (human) is the source of this 1609-nucleotide long non-coding RNA. Ensembl annotates it as long intergenic non-protein coding RNA 2970. The record is from Ensembl. NCBI's taxonomy places the organism in Eukaryota, Metazoa, Chordata, Mammalia, Primates, Hominidae.